GAAGGAAGACCCUUCGGAGCCGUCCUGUAGGGGGAGGCUUCAAACUGCCAUAAGCUGCUUCGGUCAAAAGCCGCGGUGGUGAACGUUAUGGUCAAAAGGCGUGACGUUGAUCACGUCAAGU
Molecule: non-coding RNA, 121 nt
Organism: Bradyrhizobium erythrophlei
Lineage: Bacteria; Pseudomonadati; Pseudomonadota; Alphaproteobacteria; Hyphomicrobiales; Nitrobacteraceae
Source: Rfam